Molecule: unclassified non-coding RNA, 3528 nt
Filed under: Hevea brasiliensis (rubber tree)
Lineage: Eukaryota; Viridiplantae; Streptophyta; Magnoliopsida; Malpighiales; Euphorbiaceae
Source: RNAcentral
CAUGCAUGUUAUGAGUAAACUGAAAUAAUGACAAAUUAGCUAAGUAGGGAAAGCAGGCCAGCAAAAAUUCACCAAGGAUUGUUAGGUCAGUACAAAGUCGGCACAAUCAAGACACGGUUUGCCCUCUGUGCGGCCAUGCCUAAUAUUCAUUCAAGGUUUGACAUCAUAAGCAAGGUUUGCUACUUUAUAGUAAAAACAAUGUCCAUGAAGUCAUUGUAAAAAUAACCUUUUGUCAUGCUCAGAAUAUGAAUUUUUUUUUUCAAGCAUAUGCAACCAGUUGAACUUCUCGAGGUUAAUGAACAUAAUCUGAUUUUUCAAUCACAAGAAGAAUAAUCUACGAAUAAAUUCUCCUGUACAUUGCACCAAUUUAAGCCCCUGAAGAUGGAAUAAAGUCCAUCAGCCUACAUCUCAUGAAAUCUUCUUUCAAUUAUAACUCUAUCUCGCAUUUGAAAGAGGGCCUAUAAACUUGUGAAAUGACCUGCCAGUGAAACUCAUAGCAUGGAUGCUCUGCAUCUUGAUUCCAACCUACCACAUUGAAGGUACAUAGACCUGUUCUUUCAAAUUUUGAGUUGCACUUUCAGUAGGAAAACCUCUAACUGCACCAAUUGUCCAUUGUGAUAUAAUUCCUGCUGCAACUGCAAAACGAAGCUCCCUCUCCAAAACAUCUUGAUUUUCAAACAUCUCAGGGCUAGUAGUAAGCUUUCGCAUGAUAGCAGCCACAACAGCAUCACCAGAUCCAGUCCUAUCACAUGUGAAUGGUGUAAUGAGCACAUCUUCUGUUCCCACCACAACACCAUCAAACAAAGUUGAGUAGUAAUGAAUCCUAAGUGUUCCAUCAGUCACGAACAAAAACUUAAGUCCAUCAUGCCAUAGUGGAGAGAUUUCCUCGGGUGUAUAAUGAUAAUAAUUUCGCCAUUUCUUUGUUUGUUCAUAAUUUUCAGCAUAAUAUUGAGGCCUGUAAUUCCUUUUCCUCUCGUAAUAAUCUUCGUCUAGGAGAAAUUCUAGCUCUUUCCUUGAAACCUCAAUAAAGUCUGCUUCAUUCCAAGCUUUCUUGAUUACUUCCCUCGUCUCAUCACGUGACCUCCACAAAGGCAGUGGCAAAUUAAUAUCAAAAAAUAUAAGCCCUCCAAAUUUCUUAGAUAAUUUGAUUGCACUAAAUAGAGAUGAUUGCAUGGAAGUAGAUGUUAGAGCUUCUGAAUUGAAGUGGAAAAUCCUAGCCUCUUUGAGCACUGCAAGGUUCAAUUCAGAGGCAAGAAGGGAAUCCUCAGCAGCUUCCUUCACCAUCUCCAUCUUCAUCUUACCACCCUCAAAUUUGACCUUCAUAAAACUACAAGCCGUUUUCACAUUCUCAUCAAACUUCACAGCCCGUGUUUGAACUCUUUCCUUAUUCAUCAUCAACACCAGCUCCUCCCCAAAAUCAUCGUCCCCAACUUUCCCCAUGAAGGCCGCCCUGCCUCCCAGCCUCACGUGAGAUAUCGCCACGUUGGAGGGUGACCCACCUGGGGCCCUCGCGAACUCCGGCGGGUCCCACUGCAGCAUUUUCCAUUGCGAAUACAUAUCCGGGUGCAUCUGAUUGUCAUGCACCCUCACCGUAGGCACAAAUUCUUUCUGCGCGGCACCAAAGCAGCAUAUCAACGGCGGGUAAUCAUACGGGAAAUCCAUACCAUCAUCGUAGUCUUCUAUGUCUUCGUUUAAUUCCGCUACUGCUACUUGCUUAGCCGGAUUUGAAUCAACUGCGCCAUUUUCGGCAUCGAUUUUCUUCGAGCGUUUACUUCUUUUGGUUGUUGUUGGAGUGGCAGCUGAAGAGGGUUUCUUUUUGCGGCCUCGACGAGAGGUUUUUGGGGAUUCAAUGGCUCCGUUGGUAGAGUCGCCAACCGUGGAUGCUUUGGGUGGGUGUAGCUGAUAACGAAGCUUGAAAAGCUUUCCAAGAGGAGAAGGCCUUCGAGAGUAUGGAAAUUGCGUGGUUGUAUCGUUAGGGUUUAAGACAAGCAAGCGUGAAUAGUGAAGGUGUAGAAGAAAAGUAGCCUCAAAUUGAAGGGUUUGUCUCUGAAACUAUAUCGGGUCGUGUAACAAAUCGGAUCGGGUUACCCCAGGAUAUUUUGAUCCGUUGCAUCAAAAGAAUCUUGGUUUGGACUUGGCGUAGUCCAAUCAGAAAGAAAGAGCUAAAAGGAUACGGAGAUCCAACGUUCUCACUGCAACAGAAACCUUUCUUCUUUGCAUCUGUCGUUGACUCGUUCGCUCUUGGGAAGGUUCCUGAGGAGCUUCAUCUAAAUUGAUUACUGCUUCUCGUCUCUGGUGAGAACUCUUAUCAUCUCUUUUUUUCUUUGAUUACUUUCUACUUUACCCAGAUAAUAACAUCACAAAUUGAAUGACGAAGGCAAAAGUUUGUGUUUUGAUUCUGCCCAUUCAAGACUCAUAAGCAAGGCAGCCAGUAAUUUUUUAUUCUGUUCAAGUUUAGUUUGGUAUUGAACUGCAAUUUUGUUGGUAUGAGUAUUGUUAACUGGGUGGCAUGAUGGAAUCUCGAAAAGUGUGUGUGAGUUCUUUUGUUCAUUGAUCAUUAUAGCAGAAAUCAUGCUUGUACUAAAACUAUUCAGGUUCUCUCAGUUGUCUUAGCUGGCUGCUGUUGAUUUGAUAUGGGAUUGAGAUUUUAUGGAAGAAUCAGCUCAGAGAUCAUUCAUCUUUCUCUUAACUUGAUUGUUGAUUGAGAUUCUACUUGCUGUUGUGUGAAUUAUGUUACCCUUCUUCUUGUUGCUUCCUUCAAAUUAUAGACCUUUACCUUCAAUUAUGCUACCUUGACUUUAUGGUGUUUAACAAUUAAAAGAUACUGAUACAAGCAUGUCAGUUUGGUUCUUGAUGUGAUGCUGUUGACUAGAAUCAAAUGAUAAUGUUGUCUCCUUACCAAGCAUGUCUUUUAAUUCGUCAUUGUCUAGUUACUGACUCAAUUUUUCAUUUUGAGCUCCCUUUCUGCAAAAUAUAUGCAUGAAAAAGUGCCCUUCUUUUUUAGAUUAAUUUGUGUUUGUUCUGAAACAGAGCUGUGUGAAGUUUCUUUGUUGCAGAAAAUGGGUUUCUGGACUUUCCUGGAAGGUCUCCUGCUUUUUGCAAAUGCAUUAGCAAUACUGAAUGAAGACAGGUUUCUUGCUCCAAGGGGAUGGACACUGGCAGAACUCCAAGGAAGCAAAAGAAAUUCGAUUAAGGGGCAGAUCAUUGGACUCAUACAUGCUUGCCAGUUCAUGAGACUACCACUUAUAAUGCUAAACACUAUCUUUAUCAUAGUGAAGCUAUUCUCCGGGUGAGGUCGAGCAGGACAAUGGCUCAUGGCUUGGCAUAUGCAUUAAUCCAUGAACAUCGAAAAUUUCCAGGACUGUCGACUGCUUUGAGUUUCUGUAUAGUUACUGCUGGGUUGAGGCCCAAAAUAAAAUGAGAGUAAAAGAAGUCAUUGUUCAAACGCUCAGCGAGCUCAUCUAACAUCUAGAGCUAUGUUAUUUUAUCGUUAUCACAUGAAUUUCUUUCUUUGCUGAUCUUUUUUUU